UACGUAGGGGGCAAGCGUUGUCCGGAUUUAUUGGGCGUAAAGAGCGUGUAGGCGGCCAGAUAGGUCCGUUGUGAAAACUCGAGGCUCAACCUCGAGACGCCGAUGGAAACCAUUUGGCUAGAGUCCGGAAGAGGAGAGUGGAAUUCCUGGUGUAGCGGUGAAAUGCGCAGAUAUCGGGAGGAACCCCAGAGGCGAAGGCGGCGUCCUGGCUCACAACUGACGCUCAUACACGACAGCAUGGGGAGCGAACGGG
RNAcentral lists this ribosomal RNA (253 nucleotides) under uncultured bacterium. RNAcentral's name for it is "partial 16S ribosomal RNA". It matches the Rfam family "Bacterial small subunit ribosomal RNA", at positions 524 to 776 of the family's 1533-position model. The record is from RNAcentral.